CUGCUCAGUAAACACGUGGACAACCUGCCCUUAGGUCGGGUAUAAACCCGGGAAACUGGGUAUAAUCCCCGAUAGGUCUCGGCUGCUGGAAUGCAUCGAGAUUUAAAGCUCCGGCGCCUAAGGAUGGGUCUGCGGCCUAUCAGGUAGUAGUGGGUGUAGCGUACCUACUAGCCUACGACGGGUACGGGUUGUGAGAGCAAGAGCCCGGAGAUGGAUUCUGAGACACGAAUCCAGGCCCUACGGGGUGCAGCAGGCGCGAAAACUUUACAAUGCUGGCAACAGCGAUAAGGGAACCUCGAGUGCCAGGUUACAAAUCUGGCUGUCGAGAUGCCUAAAAAGCAUUUCAUAGCAAGGGCCGGGCAAGACCGGUGCCAGCCGCCGCGGUAACACCGGCGGCUCGAGUGGUAACCGUUAUUAUUGGGUCUAAAGGGUCUGUAGCCGGCCGGAUAAGUCUCUUGAGAAAUCUGGCAGCUUAACUGUCAGGCUUUCAGGAGAUACUGUCUGGCUCGAGGCCGGGAGAGGUGAGAGGUACUUCAGGGGUAGGGGUGAAAUCUUGUAAUCCUUGAAGGACCACCAGUGGCGAAGGCGUCUCACCAGAACGGACCUGACGGCAAGGGACGAAAGCUAGGGGCACGAACCGGAUUAGAUACCCGGGUAGUCCUAGCCGUAAACGAUACUCGCUAGGUGUCGGCCACGGUGCGACCGUUGUCGGUGCCGUAGGGAAGCCGUGAAGCGAGCCACCUGGGAAGUACGGCCGCAAGGCUGAAACUUAAAGGAAUUGGCGGGGGAGCACCACAACGGGUGGAGCUUGCGGUUUAAUUGGAUUCAACGCCGGAAAUCUUACCGGGACCGACAGCAAUAUGAAGGCCAGGCUGAAGACUUUGCCGGAUUAGCU
RNAcentral lists this ribosomal RNA (895 nucleotides) under uncultured Methanosaeta sp. RNAcentral's name for it is "bacterial SSU rRNA". It matches the Rfam family "Archaeal small subunit ribosomal RNA", at positions 86 to 981 of the family's 1478-position model. The record is from RNAcentral. Lineage: Archaea; Methanobacteriati; Methanobacteriota; Methanomicrobia; Methanotrichales; Methanotrichaceae.